This 250-nucleotide ribosomal RNA is filed under the name Vibrio vulnificus. RNAcentral's name for it is "partial 16S ribosomal RNA". It matches the Rfam family "Bacterial small subunit ribosomal RNA", at positions 1 to 247 of the family's 1533-position model. Lineage: Bacteria; Pseudomonadati; Pseudomonadota; Gammaproteobacteria; Vibrionales; Vibrionaceae. The record is from RNAcentral.
UAAUUGAAGAGUUUGAUCAUGGCUCAGAUUGAACGCUGGCGGCAGGCCUAACACAUGCAAGUCGAGCGGCAGCACAGAGAAACUUGUUUCUCGGGUGGCGAGCGGCGGACGGGUGAGUAAUGCCUGGGAAAUUGCCCUGAUGUGGGGGAUAACCAUUGGAAACGAUGGCUAAUACCGCAUGAUGCCUACGGGCCAAAGAGGGGGACCUUCGGGCCUCUCGCGUCAGGAUAUGCCCAGGUGGGAUUAGCUA